This 487-nucleotide long non-coding RNA is filed under the name Bos taurus (domestic cattle). Its description in RNAcentral is "long non-coding RNA NONBTAT024122". The record is from RNAcentral. Lineage: Eukaryota; Metazoa; Chordata; Mammalia; Artiodactyla; Bovidae.
UUGUUGGGAGUUUUUUGUAUGUUUGUUUUAAAAUACAUCUUAAGCCACAUCGUUAUAACAUUAAAACCAACGUAAGACUCCUGACAGAAUAAGUAAAGUGCAAGAAAUAUUCGGCAGUCAACAGAGAUUUAACUACUAUGUUGAAGACUGCCCACCAUGCAGACAAGUUCACCACACUAUAAAUUAACACCUAAGAGAAUCUUACGAGUAUUAGAUGGUUCCUGUGACUUAAGAUCGGAGCAGAUGAAAGGGGUCUUUGGAGGAUGCUAUUUUUUUCACCCCCUUCCCUCUUAAUUCAUUUGUUAUAUAUGAAAAUCAUUAAGUAGCAAUAGGACUUUUGAAACUAAUAAAAUUUCUUCCUCCCUCUCCCUUUACCUUGUCUCUCUCUCAAGCUGCUUCUAAAAGAGUGGGUCUAAAAUAAACUCAAAAUAGUGAAAAGAUAAUAAAGGUUCAAAAUAUAAUUUUUUUAAAAGGGACAGAGGAUGGA